GCCAGGUGUGGUGGCUCACACCUAUAAUCCCAGCACUUCGGGAGGCCAAGGCAGGAGGAUCGCUGGAGCCCAGGAGUUCAAGACCAGCCUGGGCAACACAGCGAGACCCUGUCUCUU
This is an unclassified non-coding RNA of Pongo abelii (Sumatran orangutan), 117 nucleotides long. It matches the Rfam family "Metazoan signal recognition particle RNA". From Rfam's summary of the family: The signal recognition particle (SRP) is a universally conserved ribonucleoprotein. It is involved in the co-translational targeting of proteins to membranes. NCBI's taxonomy places the organism in Eukaryota, Metazoa, Chordata, Mammalia, Primates, Hominidae. The record is from Ensembl.